Molecule: ribosomal RNA, 478 nt
Filed under: uncultured bacterium
Lineage: Bacteria
Description: partial 16S ribosomal RNA
Rfam family: Bacterial small subunit ribosomal RNA
Source: RNAcentral
GAUGAACGCUGGCGGCGUGCUUAACACAUGCAAGUCGAACGAAGCACCUUGAUUUGAUUCUUCGGAUGAAGAUCUUGGUGACUGAGUGGCGGACGGGUGAGUAACGCGUGGGUAACCUGCCUCAUACAGGGGGAUAGCAGUUAGAAAUGACUGCUAAUACCGCAUAAGACCACAGCACCGCAUGGUGCAGGGGUAAAAACUCCGGUGGUAUGAGAUGGACCCGCGUCUGAUUAGGUAGUUGGUGGGGUAACGGCCUACCAAGCCGACGAUCAGUAGCCGACCUGAGAGGGUGACCGGCCACAUUGGGACUGAGACACGGCCCAAACUCCUACGGGAGGCAGCAGUAGGGAAUAUUGCACAAUGGGGGAAACCCUGAUGCAGCGACGCCGCGUGAGCGAUGAAGUAUUUCGGUAUGUAAAGCUCUAUCAGCAGGGAAGAAAAUGACGGUACCUGACUAAGAAGCACCGGCUAAAUACGU